ACAGGGGAGAGUUUGAUCCUGGCUCAGGAUGAACGCUAGCGGCAGGCCUAACACAUGCAAGUCGAGGGGCAGCAUGGCGUAG
This 82-nucleotide ribosomal RNA is filed under the name Bacteroidales bacterium. RNAcentral describes it as "partial 16S ribosomal RNA". It matches the Rfam family "Bacterial small subunit ribosomal RNA", at positions 1 to 82 of the family's 1533-position model. The record is from RNAcentral. Lineage: Bacteria; Pseudomonadati; Bacteroidota; Bacteroidia; Bacteroidales.